ACGAUCUGGGCACUGUCUCAGCCACGAGCUCGGUGAAAUUGUAGUAGCGGUGAAGAUGCCGCUUACCCGCAACGGGACGAAAAGACCCCAUGAACCUUUACUAUAGCUUCACAUUGGUAUUGGGUAAAUGAUGUGUAGGAUAGGCGGGAGACUUCGAAGCUGUGUCGCCAGGCAUGGUGGAGUCGUUGGUGAAAUACCGCCCUUUAUUUAUCUGAUGCCUAAUCCAUUAAUGGAGACAGUGUGUGGUGGGUAGUUUGA
This 258-nucleotide ribosomal RNA is filed under the name uncultured Amoebophrya. Its description in RNAcentral is "partial Bacterial large subunit ribosomal RNA". It matches the Rfam family "Bacterial large subunit ribosomal RNA", at positions 2004 to 2273 of the family's 2925-position model. The record is from RNAcentral. Lineage: Eukaryota; Dinophyceae; Syndiniales.